This 3526-nucleotide unclassified non-coding RNA is filed under the name Hevea brasiliensis (rubber tree). Lineage: Eukaryota; Viridiplantae; Streptophyta; Magnoliopsida; Malpighiales; Euphorbiaceae. The record is from RNAcentral.
AUAAUUACUGAUUUCCACGACGUAGUCGGAAAGUAGUACUCCAAUUCCCACUAAUCAAUUUGGAACCUGAAUUUUCUGUUCGUUUCCAUGUAAAUUCAUGGAUUCAAACUCAAUUUCUCUUUCAUUUGGACCGUAAUUUAGUGUUUUAGAUACAAUUGUAUUAGAAAUGGCAGCUCUAGCUGCUACAAUUCCUCCGUGGAUCCCUGAAGACGACCUCUUAUUGAAGAACGCCGUUGAGGCAGGUGCUUCUUUGGAAGCACUUGCUAAAGGAGCGGUGAGAUUCUCGCGAAAAUUUACAGUCUCAGAAUUGCGUGAGAGGUGGUAUUCUCUCCUCUAUGACCCUGUUGUUUCAGAUGAAGCUUCUGCUCGCAUGUUGGAAUUUGAACUUUCUACCCCCAGUUCUAGAGUCAGCGUAGAGGUUUCUGCUAAGAGAAAGCGUGAAAGUGUUCGGCGAAUGUACUAUGCUAUGAAGAAGAAAACUAGUGCCCGACCUGGUAAAUCUACAAGUUUUUUUGAUGCACCAAAGGCUAGUUGUGGAGACAACAUGCCAUUUGAUAGUCCUGCACAAGGUGGAAGUUGCAUAUUUGGAGAACUUAAUCAAAACCAUUUUGGGUUUGUUGGGAAGGAAUGCUAUAAUGAACUCUGUUUGGAGGUUCCCUCUUUUGAGCAAGAUAAUGCAGGCAAAAAUAUUCCUAGUAAUGCGAGAGACAGAUUAGUUGACUUUCUGAGUGGUGACGGAGUUAAGGAAAUGGCAUUGGCACAUCCUUUGCCAGAAAGUAGUCCUUCAUUUCAUACCGAGGGACUUUCCUCUCCGCUAGCAAUAUGGGAAACGAUAGAGGACAUUUCUGCUCCUGCAAUGCCUAUUAGUGUAAGCAUUGAAGAUAAAGGUCAGCAAGAAGCAUUGAUGCAUCGUGAUGGUGUGGAAUUGGAUAGUAAUAAAAUGAGUUUAUCAGGAAUGAAUGUUGUCCAUUCGGGGGCAAUGUUGCAAGAUAAACAUGAUGUUGAUGUACUUAAUAAUUCAAAUGCAAUCUCGGAAUGUGAUUAUGUGGACCUUUCAGAGUCACUUUUGAACUUUGCGAAUGAAGAUGAGCCAGUUUUAGUGGAUGCAGAUGGGAAAGACACUAUAGAUAAAUUUUGUUAUGAUGGCGCUUUGUUGAAUUCUCCUAAUGGAACUCAGGGUAGAGCACCAGAUGUUAAAGAAUCACAGACAAUAGUUUCAGAUAAAAGCCUUGGAAUUCCUGCCAAUGAAUGCCCUGAAGAAUUAGAGUCUAUUGCUGAGGGGUCACUUUCUAGUAAUGUUGAGCAGCAUGGUCAUUUGUGUUCAGAAAUCAAUUUACCAUCAUCCAUAUCAGCAGCAAAUACAUGGUCUGCAGAGAACUGUGAUGGAGAGAUGGAGUGUACAUUAAACAGUGAAGACACUGAAAUCCCUUCUAAUGAUGAUAUUUUUUUUCCUAGACAAUUUGCUUCGUCCUUGAUGAGAACAAAAUCUAAGGAGGCUUGUUUCCCAUCUUUUUCGUAUGCUAAACAAGAGCAAAGCUUGAUGAAGAAAGAAGCAAAUCCUGCACAAUCUCGAAUUGCUUCCCAGAUGACAAGGCUGGACAUGUUGCCAGUAACCAGCCCAGGUAGCCAACUCGUUGGCUGUGGAGUAAAAUGCGAAUCUCCUUAUGAUGUGGCCUCCAGACAGGCUAGCAAAGCUCCUGAAGACGCCAAUCAAUGCAGAACAGCCCAGGGUACUCUAGUUUCUGACCCAGUUGGAUUACUAAAGGCAGAGGCAUCAAAUGCAUGUAACGCCAUGGGUUUGCCAUUUUAUGCAAAACCAUGCUCCCCUAAACAAGUUACUUCAGUACCAGAAGCUGAACCCGUAACGAUAGAUGAGGAAGAAUACGAGAGUGACAAUGAUAUUCCAUCCUAUUCUGAGAUAGAAGCCAUGAUACUUGAUAUGGACUUGUGCCCAGAUGAUACAGAUUCUUAUAUUGAUAGUGAAGUCUCAAGGUAUCAAAAUGAGGAUACCAGAAGGAUAAUUAUAAGAUUGGAACAGUGUGCUCAAUCAUCCAUACAAAGAGCCAUUGCAUCUCGGGGUGCACUUGCUGUCUUGUAUGGGCGCCAUUUGAAGCAUUAUAUAAGGAAAACUGAGGUCAUACUUGGCAGAGCAACAAAUGAUAUGGAAGUCGAUAUUGACUUGGGAAGAGAAGGACCUGCCAACAAAAUAUCAAGACGGCAGGUGGCAUUUGUUUCAGCGUCUUCUGAUGGAAUUGUUAUUCAGAUUUGCAUUUAAAGUUGGUUGAGCAGAUCAAUUUUAUUUCCUUUUUCUUUUGUUUAAUGUUAGAUGAAAAUUUUCUCUUUAAUUUUUUAAUGGAGACUCCAAGGAGUUGCACUUUCUGACGUAUUGUCAUUGUCUAUGAUCAUGUUACUGUAAAACUGAUGCAGACAUAAGGAAUUAGAAAUAAUAUAAAGAGCUUAAGAAAGAAGAAGGAACUAAGGGUGAAAAAAGUACUUAUUGGGGUUUUUGUUUUGCCCCCUUUACGGAUUGAAUUUGAAUAUUCUAGGAUUGUUGAGUUCAACCCAAGGCCCUGACAUUGUUUCCUCACUUUUGUCUGUAGUUCAGAGUAAACUUUUCUGUGUAACUAUAUAAACCGCUCUACAUAAGAUUGUUCCAUUCAGAUUCUACUAUGUCACAUUAACACUCCACCCAUGUCAAUCAAAUACCCAUUUUUAGUUUAUUGACAUCCUGCAUGGCCUCUAAUUUUAUGGAAUAGUGACUGGUUGUUGCCUGUGUUGCUAGGCACUUGUAAAGAUGGAAGCAGAUGGUUCCUUCUUCUUGAAGAAUCUGGGUAAGAUUCUUGUAUCUUUGAAUGGCAAAGAAGUUGCUACUGGACAGAGUAUGAGUCUUGGUUCAAAUAGUUUGAUUGAGGUAUGUACUUUCCAAUAAUCUUCCUGUUUGAUAAGCUUUAAACUGUUUUAGAUUGGUUUUGCUGUCUUCUAUCUUAUUUAUGCUCUUCCUUUGUGAUAAUUAUAUUGCUUGCACUGAUUUGUUGUGCUGUAACUAGAGAAUUAAUAUUAUCGCCAGUAUUGAAUCUGCAGAUUGGGGGAAUGGCAUUUGUGUUUGAAAUUAAUAGAAAAUCUGUGGGGCGGCACCUGGCAAAUGCCACCAAAAUCCGCAAACAAAACAAAUACCAAAUUUGAAUGGUCAUAAGGGAUUUCAUAAAUAGAGGAAAUCCGUCAACUGUUUCCUUUAUCUCCUAUGUUAACCAUCUUAGAUGAACAAAAAUCAGUGUUGUUAGUAGUGUACGCUUGAGUUGGAUGCACACUGUCGAACUGUAUAUGUAUAUAUAUAUAAAUAUAAUACAGAACUUCUCAUUUCUUAGACAGUAAUCAUGUUUAUGGCAAUACAUAUUAUGUAUAUGAAAUAUAGUUGGCCAUUCAUCCCAUUUUAUAAAGAGAGGAAGAAUAAAUAUAAGUAGCAAGGAAGGAUAUAGCUGAUCAUAUCUAGUGACAAUUGGUUUAAUACAGUAAUUUUAUUUUCCCA